Vidua chalybeata is the source of this 3072-nucleotide long non-coding RNA. RefSeq lists it as uncharacterized. The transcript has 6 exons. The record is from RefSeq and is a predicted model, not a curated record. Lineage: Eukaryota; Metazoa; Chordata; Aves; Passeriformes; Viduidae.
GCGGGCCCGGCGCUAUCGCGGGAAGGGGCGGGAGCAGCGCCCCGAGGAGCGGCCAAGGCGGAGGCGGAGAUGGCGCUGGGAGGCGGGGUUUCAGGAGCAGACAUUCCAGUUCGCUGGGGACGUGUAGGAGCUGGUGCCCCGUGGCUCUGGGGGACACCCAUUACGCUUAGCUGGUGCUCGGGAAAUAGAGAGUUGGGCAGAGUUCCCAUCCUGGGGAGCUUGCAGUUGGAAAAAUCCUCUACACACCAAGAAGGCUGGCAGAGUAGCAGUUGAUCCACAGUGGGAGCCCAGAGGGGGAAGCUGUUGGCACAGUAGGCUCCUGGCAACGUGGGAUAAAGCAGUACUUGCAACAGGAGAAGGGGAGGAAGCGAGUCUGCAUGAGACCAGAGCUGCCCAGUGAAAAGCAGCCCAGAGCUCAGGGAUUUCCAGGGAGCAGUCAGAGCUUUCCUGCUCUGUGCCGUGGGCUCGGGCUUGGACACAGACAGCGAGUUCCUGUCCUGAAUGUCAGCAGUGGCUGCUGGGUGACAGAUGAAAGAACCAGAAAGCCAUUCCAGAAGUGCUGUGUGGUAUUUGGAGAGCUGGGUACCAGCUGCAGCACAGAUUUCCAGAGGUUUCAGUUGAGUGAGGAGAGGGCUGUGGGCUCAGGUAAAUCAUGUGAAGGAGGUGAAGCACGUGUGUUGUAAGAGUUAAUGGUACAACGUAGCCCUGCUCUACAUAAGCACGUUUUGUGCUGAUGUUUCCCAGUUCCUGAAGCCAGUGUAGGAAAAGGUGUGUGGCUGGCAGAACUGCAAGCCCAGACAAGGCACUUCUGGGUGUGGAUGCUCCCAGCCUAUUGCCAGGUGCUUCAAAUAGGCAUUUAUGUCAGAGAUCUGAGGUCAGUUCAAUGAUAGCCAAUUUCAGCCCUGGAUUAUUACAUAAAUAUUAAUAAGAACAGGGGAAUAUUUCACAUUUAUGUUAUUGGUCAGCAGAGUUUUCACCUAACCCUUAAGCAGUACUGGUGUGGAAUAUAUUUCCCUUCAAGACAACUAAGAAAACUUUAAAAGUUUGGCCAAAGAAAACCUGUUCACCUCUUUAAUAACCUUGUGAGUUUAAUGAAAAGUAAUCUUAUUUUCUGCAUACCUGACAAGGAAAAACAGGAGAAGAGAGUCAACUCAAAUGGGAAUUGUAUUCUUCCCUGCUUUUGUACCCUUAAUCACCUUUAGCAUCUUUGUUGCUUGAUUUCCCUCCUUGUAAAAUAGGCAUAAUGAGACUGAAGUCCUAGUAAAGCAGGCAGAUCUGAAGGGAAUAGAUGCUGGACAAGUGGUAUGUACUAUUUUUAUUUUUUAAAAUGAAGUAAGGAGAAGCAAUGGAUUUUCAUCUGGAAGAAGAUCUAGUAUUAACUUGUUGGUAUAAAAUAUUCGUUACUGCCCCCAUUUGCUUUUAGGAUAUCAAUCAAUGGCAUUUUUAUUGGUUCAUGAGCCUUGUAAUGCAUUUUGAAUCUGACCCAGGACUGUGUGGAGCAUAUACUGGCGCUUAGAUUUAUGCCAGUUUAACUCCCUGGUCAUUCUUUGACCUUUUUGACCAAAUAUCUCCCAGUUGCUAAGGGCUUGCUUUUUGUGGGGGUUGUUUUGUUUUCUUUACUUUCAGAGUCUCUGCUUCGAGGGGCUCUGACAGUGAUUUGGAGUUGUUCGUGUAGGAGGAAUUAUCACACGGCAGCUUCCCAGAGGGGGGGAUGCUGAGACACAGCCACCAGCACCUCUCCACCUUCCCACUGGUGGUUUCCGAAAGAAUCAGCCCAGUUUCUCCGUCCUUUGGCAAGAAGAUGGCCACGUGAAACACGAGAAUUCUGCUCUGUACCCCACUCAGGGAAGAGGAUGGGUGCUGCAGACGCAGGAGCGGGGAGGUGAAGCUGAGGCCACCUUUGGUCACUUCCACCCCUAAAUCAGCCCCUGGGCUUCCCUGCCUGCUUCUCCACCUGUGUGACGUUGUGCACUGUUCCCCACGGUGCAAUGCUUUUUAAGGGAAAGCGAGGAGCGCUGGAGCGCAGGUGGGAACCAGCGGCGCCGGGGAUGACGCCGGCUGACACAGAGCCCGUCCUGCCUCCUUCCGGCUCCCACGCUGUCCCCUCCCUGGGCUGGCACGGCCUUGGGAAACGCGUCCCGCUCCGUCCAGCCCGGCAAAAACCGGAAUGGCUGGCCGGAGAGGAGUUUGCUUCUUUUCAGGGUGUCACCGCGUACCGAGGAUUAAAGUCCUCGCGGAACUGGCGUGUGCGUGGCAGCCGCUGCUCCCGGUGAAAGCCAGGAGCUUCCCUGGUUUGUCCUGGCUAAAAGGGAAUUGUGCUGCGGCUGGAAACGCGACCAAGCGAGUCUCAAAGCGUUUCUUUCAUCCUCACUUGAUGCUUAGUACACGUUUACUCCGGCUUCCUAAGCCUCGUCAACAUCGCAGCCGAACACAUGCCCGUCUCAGGAGCGGUGUUGUGUAAAUAAAUCCUGUGCCUUGCAGGGUGUCACGGAGUUGAUGGGAAGCCUGGAGAGGGGAGGGCGUGGGAGCAGCAUGCCAGUGUUAAUGUUCUGCUUUCUGCGCAGGAUUGCGACAGGAUUGCAACAGCCCGGCCUGUCUGAGCUGCUGCACGUCCCGGCAGCGCGGCUCUGCUCCUGAGUUUGAUGGGGUGCUGAUAGAACAAUGCACCUUUCUGGGAAAUGGUAAUGCACGGCAGGACUUCUGACAAGGAAAUUGGGAACAAACCAUAGCUGCUUUCUUCUCGGAGUGCUGAUGAUUUUCGGGUGGCCCACCAGGCAGCCAAGCAAAAAAUAUACAUGACAGUGUUCACUCAAAGGGUAAAAGUUUUUGGGUUGCCCAGAGUAAGAACUGCAGAAGAUGUGCUGAAUUCAAGAACUGCAGGCGUGUAUUCAACUAAACCCAGGUUUCUGUAUCUGUUUUUGGGGUCCUUGAUCAGAGUGGGGCCUCCAGAGCAGCCUGUUCUCUCUGCAGAGAAGCAGAGAAGUGCAGUUGGUGAUGGUGAGCAGUGUUAAAACACAGGUGCAUAAGUUUGAAAAUGUUGAUCCAAAUCACAUUAUUGUAAGUAGUAGGGAA